AAAUUGAAGAGUUUGAUCAUGGCUCAGAUUGAACGCUGGCGGCAGGCCUAACACAUGCAAGUCGAACGGUAACAGGAAGCAGCUUGCUGUUUCGCUGACGAGUGGCGGACGGGUGAGUAAUGUCUGGGAAACUGCCUGAUGGAGGGGGAUAACUACUGGAAACGGUGGCUAAUACCGCAUAACGUCGCAAGACCAAAGAGGGGGACCUUCGGGCCUCUUGCCAUCAGAUGUGCCCAGAUGGGAUUA
RNAcentral lists this ribosomal RNA (246 nucleotides) under Salmonella enterica. RNAcentral describes it as "partial 16S ribosomal RNA". It matches the Rfam family "Bacterial small subunit ribosomal RNA", at positions 1 to 243 of the family's 1533-position model. The record is from RNAcentral. Lineage: Bacteria; Pseudomonadati; Pseudomonadota; Gammaproteobacteria; Enterobacterales; Enterobacteriaceae. RNAcentral also lists the same sequence under 2 other names.